CGAAGUGAGCGGAGCAAGCGAAAGAGCGGAGUGAGAGAAAUGAGCGAAAAAGCGGAGUGAGAGAAACGAGCGAAAAAGUGGGGUGAGAGAAACGAGUGAAAGAGCGGAAUGAGAGAAACAAGCGAAGCUAGUGAAGAGCUUAAGCAAGAUCGCUAAGGCGUCGUGUUCGCGACAAGUAGCGAAACGGCCGGAAUCUAUGUAUUGUCACACUACGAUCUGGACUUGCCGAGUGGGAAUGGGACUUCGCGUGAAAUCUAUCGUUCUUCCGCGGGAAAAUCGCGUCCGCUCAUCCGCAAUCGACAACCUGUGUAUUACCAUUUCCUGUCAGAUAGUAGACAUAUCGCUAAGUCAUCAUUGCAAGUAAGCAAACCUGCGGAGCGUCGACGACGAUCCCCGUCGAGAGAGCGCCGUCGUCAGUAGACCAGGUACACCCUUGCCAGUUCUUCGACAAAUCAAUCAACUGACGAAACGAAAGUCACUUCCGCUUUGCUUGUGUAUAGGUUGUACGAUAAUAGAAUAUUUUACCGUUUUAGUAGGACAACGACAAAUUAGCAGUUUAGUCGUUACUUGGACGAGUCAAACUAUCUUCGGUAUGGAAGUGCGUGCGAUUGCGACGAAGUUAGGCUGACCUAUCAUGACCAAAAACCGCCGAGAGAAAUUCAUUUCCCCAGUGGAGAGAUUAGGUAUAUAAAGGAGUCGAUCAACAGCAAUAUCGAACUGCGCGGUAUCCGAUGUGGUCCGGUGACUUGCGAGCGAAAGAAUGAAGUGAGAGAAACGAGCGAAGCGAGCGGCGAUGCGAGUGAAGGAGCGGAGUGAGAGAAAUGACCGAAAGAACGGAGUAAGAGAAACGAGCGAAAGAACGGAGUGAGAGAAACGAGUAAAGCGAGCGGAGCGAAUAAAAGAGCGGAGUGAGAGAAACGAGCGAAACUAGCGAAGGGCUUAACCCUUUCGAUAUGGCUAUAUCUUUCGCGAGUAUGCUUCCGCUAUAUAUAUAUAUAUAUAGAUACUCGAGUCGCGAAUGAGAUUCUAUGAUAUGAGCCAGUUGCAACGUACAUUUUACCGUGGAAUGGGUAUAACAUUUGAUAUUCGGUAGAAUAAUGUAAAUUAUAGAUAAAUUGUUUAUAAAAAGGAUAAGACAUUACAAUGUAAUAUAUUUUAAAUUAUUCAGAUUUAAAAAAUUGUUUAAUAAUAUAAUUUCGAUGAUAGGUGAUUAUAAUCACCCGUAGGACACAGUGAGUGUACGAUGAUGAGUGACUAUAGUCAACGGUAUUAUCGAAAGGGUUAAACGAGGUCGGUAAGGCGUCAAGUAUCCGCGCCAAGUAACGAAAUAGCCGGAGUCUAUGUACUGCCACACUGUCUAUUACUGUGAUCAAAAAGUAUCCGAACUUUAUUUUUUAAAAACUGCGGGUAAACUGUAAAUCAAAUCCGUUUGCUUUCUUAAGUCGGUACACAUGUCCUCCACAUUUGGUGAAAAAAUCAUGGCGUUCCUUCAAGCCGUUUGAAAGUGGCAGUUGUUUAUGUCAGUGAAGAUUGUUGUGCACGGCGAUUUUUACGAUGUCGAAAAAUAUGGAGCAAAGGAUUUGUUUGAAAUUUUGUGUUGCGAACGAAAUUUCGUUCACAAACGCAUUCAAAAUGUUGCGAAAAGCUUAUGACGAUUAUUGUUUAUCGAAAACAAGUACGUUUGAGAAGUUUAAGAAGUUUCAAGAAGGACGAGAAUCCGUUGAAGAUGACCCACGCUCUGGAAGACCAUCAACGUCAACGGAUGACGCUCACAUUGAGAAAGUGAAAGAAUUGGUGCUCUAAAACCGUCGAUUGACUGUGCGAGAGCCUGAGCAGAACAUCGCCCCAUAGUCGUAUUAAAACCCCAUCUGGCUUCCAAAUUUCAACUAGGGUCCGGAUAACUUUAUCGGAUCCGGCACGUAAUAAGGAGUGAAACGCACUGCUGCAUAAUGCCCUGAAAUUGCUUGAAAUCGAGAAACCUGAUCAAAUGUCCAUCAGGACCAAAUCAGGCAUCCAAAUAAUGACGUCAUCGCUGGUCAGGGUAUAAUCCGGAAAAUAUUGCAAGACAAUUACCACAUUCCCACCGGAUAAGGACCACUCAUAAUGUCUUCUUAUGGCUUGCCUAAUCAUGUCAUAUCAUAAAAAAUUGUCGUAUUUGAUUCCUGCUCGGGAGAUAGCAGAUGAAGCUGGAAUAUCAUUUGGAUCGUACCAGCAUAUUUUGUCCAAUGUACUGGACAUAAAUCGGGUCGCAUCGUGCUUAAUUCCGAGAAACCUGAAUUUUCUCCAAAAAGAUAAUCGACUGUUGGUAUCGUCUGAGAUGAUUUCCACGAGAGAUGAUUUUUUUUUUUCAUACACUUUAGCGGAGCUAUUUAACACUAUCACGACUUCCUUCCGGCAAUUUUAUCCAGAGACAGCACAUACAUGAAACGGAUCAUAACUGAUGAUGAAACAUGGGUUUACCAAUACGACGUCGAAACCAAAGCAACAAUUAUUGAAAUGGCGUUUGAAAAAUGAAGCAAGACCGAAGAGAGUUCGCCGUUUGCAGUCAAAAGUCAAGAUUAUGCUCACGGUUCUCAUCGCGGUAUUGUGCACCAGGAAUUCUUUCUAACUAGUCAAAAAGUCAAUGCAAAAUACUACUUGUCCGUCACGAUGAAUUUGCGCGAAGCAAUAAGAAACGACCGGGAUUGUGGGGAAACAACUCGUGGAUUUUGCAUCACGACAACACACCAUUCG
RNAcentral lists this unclassified non-coding RNA (2733 nucleotides) under Harpegnathos saltator (Jerdon's jumping ant). RNAcentral describes it as "uncharacterized LOC112589774, transcript variant X4". Lineage: Eukaryota; Metazoa; Arthropoda; Insecta; Hymenoptera; Formicidae. The record is from RNAcentral.